RNAcentral lists this transfer RNA (86 nucleotides) under Clostridiales bacterium. RNAcentral describes it as "tRNA-Leu". It matches the Rfam family "tRNA". From Rfam's summary of the family: Transfer RNA (tRNA) molecules are approximately 80 nucleotides in length. Their secondary structure includes four short double-helical elements and three loops (D, anti-codon, and T loops). Lineage: Bacteria; Bacillati; Bacillota; Clostridia; Eubacteriales. The record is from RNAcentral.
GCCGAAGUGGUGGAAUGGCAGACGCGCUGGAUUCAAAAUCCAGUGUAGGCAACUACGUGUGGGUUCAAGUCCCACCUUCGGCACCA